CCUACGGGUGGCAGCAGUGAGGAAUAUUGGUCAAUGGACGAGAGUCUGAACCAGCCAAGUAGCGUGAAGGAUGACUGCCCUAUGGGUUGUAAACUUCUUUUAUAAAGGAAUAAAACACGGUAUGUGUGCCUUCUUGCCUGUACUUUAUGAAUACGGAUCGGCUAACUCCGUGCCAGCAGCAGCGGUAAUACGGAGGAUCCGAGCGUUAUCCGGAUUUAUUGGGUUUAAAGGGAGCGUAGAUGGGUUGUUAAGUCAGUUGUGAAAGUUUGCGGUUCAACCGUAAAAUUGCAUUAGAUACUGGCAGUCUAGAGUACAGUUGAGGUAGGCGGAAUUCGUGGUGUAGCGGUGAAAUGCUUAGAUAUCAAGAAGAACCCCGAUUGCGAAGGCAGCCUACUAAACUGUAACUGACAUUGAUGCGCGAAAGUGUGGGUAUCAAACAGGAUUAGAUACCCGGGUAGUC
This 460-nucleotide ribosomal RNA is filed under the name uncultured bacterium. Its description in RNAcentral is "partial 16S ribosomal RNA". It matches the Rfam family "Bacterial small subunit ribosomal RNA", at positions 338 to 795 of the family's 1533-position model. The record is from RNAcentral.